CCACGGCAGACGAGGUAGUAACACGUAGCAACGUACCCCGAAGUCAGGGAUAUUCCAUCGAAAGAUGGCGCAAUACCUGAUAGUCCUCAAGAGGUAAAGAUUUAUCGCUUCGGGAGCGGCCUGCGUAAUAUCAGCUAGUUGGUGAGGUAAUGGCUCACCAAGGCUAUGACGUUUAGGGGAGCUGAGAGGCUGACCCCCACCGAUGGAACUGAGAUACGGUCCUUACUCCUACGGGAGGCCGCAGUCGAGAAUCUUCCGCAAUGGACGAAAGUCUGACGGAGCGACGCCGCGUGGUGGAUGAAGUCCUUCGGGACGUAAACAUCUUUUAUGAGGGAUGAAGUUUUGACAGUACCUCAUGAAUAAGGGGCUCCUAACUCUGUGCCAGCAGGAGCGGUAAUACAGAGGCCCCAAGCAUUAUCCGGAAUCACUGGGCGUAAAGGGUGCGUAGGUGGCGUUAUUAGUCCUUCUUUAAAUCUUCCGAGCUCAACUCGGAAGCUCGGGAGGAAACGGUAGCGCUAGAGGAUGUACGAGGUAUGUGGAACUCACGGUGUAGGGGUGAAAUCCGUUGAUAUCGUGGGGAACACCGAAUGCGAAGGCAGCAUACUGGGACAUUCCUGACACUGAGGCACGAAAGCGUGGGUAGCGAAAAGGAUUAGAUACCCUUGUAGUCCACGCCCUAAACCAUGUUCCCUAGCUAUGAGGAGUAUCGACCCUCUUCGUGGCGUAGCUAACGCGUUAAGGGAACCGCCUGGGUAGUACGAUCGC
RNAcentral lists this ribosomal RNA (765 nucleotides) under uncultured bacterium. RNAcentral describes it as "bacterial SSU rRNA". It matches the Rfam family "Bacterial small subunit ribosomal RNA", at positions 93 to 889 of the family's 1533-position model. The record is from RNAcentral.